Molecule: ribosomal RNA, 492 nt
Filed under: uncultured bacterium
Lineage: Bacteria
Description: partial 16S ribosomal RNA
Rfam family: Bacterial small subunit ribosomal RNA
Source: RNAcentral
AGUGAACGCUGGCGGUAGGCCUAACACAUGCAAGUCGAACGGCAGCACAGUAAGAGCUUGCUCUUACGGGUGGCGAGUGGCGGACGGGUGAGGAAUACAUCGGAAUCUACUUUUUCGUGGGGGAUAACGUAGGGAAACUUACGCUAAUACCGCAUACGACCUACGGGUGAAAGCAGGGGAUCUUCGGACCUUGCGCGUUUGAAUGAGCCGAUGUCGGAUUAGCUAGUUGGCGGGGUAAAGGCCCACCAAGGCGACGAUCCGUAGCUGGUCUGAGAGGAUGAUAAGCCACACUGGAACUGAGACACGGUCCAGACUCCUACGGGAGGCAGCAGUGGGGAAUAUUGGACAAUGGGCGCAAGCCUGAUCCAGCCAUACCGCGUGGGUGAAGAAGGCCUUCGGGUUGUAAAGCCCUUUUGUUGGGAAAGAAAAGCAGCAGGUUAAUACCCCGCUGUUCUGACGGUACCCAAAGAAUAAGCACCGGCUAACUUCGUG